This 381-nucleotide ribosomal RNA is filed under the name uncultured bacterium. RNAcentral describes it as "bacterial SSU rRNA". It matches the Rfam family "Bacterial small subunit ribosomal RNA", at positions 335 to 704 of the family's 1533-position model. The record is from RNAcentral.
ACUCCUACGGGAGGCAGCAGUGGGGAAGUAUUGCACAAUGGGCGCAAGCCUGAUGCAGCCAUGCCGCGUGUAUGAAGAAGGCCUUGGGUUGUAAAGUACUUUCAGCAGUGAGGAAGGUGGGUAGUGUUAAUAGCAUAUUCAUUUGUACGUUAGCUGCAGAAGAAGCACCGGCUAACUCCGUGCCAGCAGCCGCGGUAAUACGGAGGGUGCGAGCGUUAAUCGGAAUUACUGGGCGUAAAGCGCAUGCGAGGUGGUUUGUUAAGUCAGAUGUGAAAGCCCGGGGCUCAACCUCGGAAUUGCAUUUGAAACUGGCAAACUAGAGUACUGUAGAGGGGGUUAGAAUUUCAGGUGUAGCGGUGAAAUGCGUAGAGAUCGUGAAGG